GCGGGCGUAGCUCAGCGGUAGAGCAUCUGUUUGCCAUACAGAAGGUCGCGAGUUCAAAUCUCGUCGCCCGCUCCA
Molecule: transfer RNA, 75 nt
Filed under: Candidatus Acetothermia bacterium
Lineage: Bacteria; Candidatus Bipolaricaulota
Also listed under: 2 other names
Description: tRNA-Gly
Rfam family: tRNA
About the family: Transfer RNA (tRNA) molecules are approximately 80 nucleotides in length. Their secondary structure includes four short double-helical elements and three loops (D, anti-codon, and T loops).
Source: RNAcentral